This 923-nucleotide long non-coding RNA is filed under the name Amborella trichopoda. Its description in RNAcentral is "long non-coding RNA (ATRI_LNC001282)". The record is from RNAcentral. Lineage: Eukaryota; Viridiplantae; Streptophyta; Magnoliopsida; Amborellales; Amborellaceae.
UAUGAUAAACAAGAAAAGCUGUGUAAAUUACAGCAGUCGUGGACAGAGUAAUAAAAGAAUAUGAUUGAUUUCCUUCAUAGGAAACUACAAAAAAAGAAUUAAUCUACUGUUGCAUGUACAUACUCUUCUCUACCAAAUCAUCAAAAACUUUAAAUAAAGAAUAUUAAAAAAAAAAAAGAAAAAAAAAAGAAGAAAAAAACAAGAACAAGAAGAGGAUGAAGAAUUAGCUCAAUUGCUUCUGCAAAUUGGUUUCUAGACUCUAAUGACCAACGCCUGGACUUGGAACCGACGAUAUCAAUACCCUUUCUGUGUCCCUGUGGCCUCGACCGCUUGGCCCUGAUACCGGGACAGUGCCCUUCGGAAGGGCACUAAGAAAACUGGACAACCAUGAGUUGGUAUCAUCGCCAUUGCUCGAGCUAGAGAGAGAAAGGUCCUUCUUUUCACCAAAAGAAUGGUUAUCAAAAGCCAGAUCUUGGCUUUUCGGCAUUUGGGUAUUCUCGACAAGAAGCCUAGCAGAAGUGCUACCAGAGAAGAACACUGAAACGAAGAUCAAGAUCACCAGAGAUUGGACCGACAACCCAGCCAUGAGAGAGAGAGAAAGGACCUCGUGUGGGGGAUCUACUUUUGAUUUGAUGGAUGAGAGAGAAAGAGAGAGUUGUUAAACUAUGGAUGUGGGGAUAUGAUUUGUUUUAGAGAGAGAAAGAGUUUUGCAGAGAAUGUUGAGGAAGAUGAUGGAGAAGGGGAAUAGGGGGGGGGAGGGGGGAUUUGAAGGGGGGAGAGAGUGGACUUGUUGGCCUGCAGCUGAGGUCACAGUCGAUGGUGGGGUGUUUGUAGAGAGAGAAGAGAGAGAUGGUGGGGGUGUUUGUAGAGAGAGAAAGAGAGAGAGAGAGACAUACGUGAAGAAGAAGGCAAGGUUGGUCUGG